RNAcentral lists this ribosomal RNA (518 nucleotides) under uncultured bacterium. RNAcentral's name for it is "bacterial SSU rRNA". It matches the Rfam family "Bacterial small subunit ribosomal RNA", at positions 12 to 510 of the family's 1533-position model. The record is from RNAcentral.
UUUGAUCAUGGCUCAAAACGAACGCUGGCGGCGGGGCUUAGGCUUGCAAGUCGAGCGAGAAAGGGGCAACCCGAGUAAAGCGGCGUAGGGGUGAGUAAUGGGUAGCUAACGUACCUUCCAAACGCAAAUAAUUUUCCAAAAGGGAUUGUAAUGCGCGAUGAGACCACCCUCUGUACGCAAAGAGGGGUCAAAGGCCGGGGAUCCUUCGGGACCCGACGGCUGGAAAAGCGGGCGACCUCCGAUUAGCUAGUUGGCGGGGUAACGGCCCACCAAGGCAAUGAUCGGUAGCCGGGCUGAAAGGCUGUCCGGCCACACUGGCACUGAAACACUGGCCAAACUCCUACGGGAGGCUGCAUUCGCGAAUUUUUCACAAUGGGCGCUAGCCUGAUGAACCCACGCCGUGUGCGGAAUGAAGGCUCUCUGAUUUGUAAACCGCUGUCAAGUGAAGGGAAACGUACGGUGUUAACAGCGCCGUGCUCGACUGUCCGCUAAAGGAAGCCCCGGCAAAACAUGUGCCA